UUUACCUUCGAAAAGUGGUGGCGGCUGCAGUCUGGGCCGGGGCCCUGUGUGCCUGAAGACAUGGAGUUUGUGUCUGGAUACCGGGAUGAGUUCCUUGAUUUCGCUGCCCUUCUCUUCGGCUGGUUCCGAAAGUUUGUGGCAGAGCGUGGAGCUGUAGGGACUAGCCUUGAGGGCCGCUGGUGGCAGCUGGAGGCCCAGAUCAGAAGGCUGCCCCAGGACCCUGCGCUUUGGGUGCUCCAUGUCCUGCCCAACCGUAGUGUGGGCAUCAGCCUGGGGCAAGGGGCAGAGCCAGGUCCUGGACCAGGCCUGGGGUCUGCCCGGCUCCUGGGAGAUGACCCUCCACUCCACCUGCGAGACCUGAGCCCCUACGUCAGCUUUGUCAGCCUAGAGGACGGGGAGGAAGGGGAGGAGGAAGAGGAGGAAGAUGAAGAAGAAGAGAAGAGAAAGGAAGGGGGUGCAGGCACAGAGAAGGUGGAACCAGAGGAGGACCAGGAGCUAGCUCCUAGCAGCAGGGAGUCCCCCCAGGAAACAAACCCUCCAGGAGAGUCAGAGGAGGCUGACCGGGAGGCAGGAGGUGGCAAGGAUGGCUGCCGAGAGGACAGGGUGGAGAAUGAAACAAGACCCCAGAAGACCAAGGGACAGAGGAGUGAGGCUGCCCCCCUGCACCUUUCCUGUCUCUUACUCGUGACGGAUGAGCAUGGCACCAUCUUGGGCAUUGAUCUGCUAGUGGAUGGAGCCCAGGGAACUGCCAGCUGGGGCUCAGGGACUGAGAACCUGGCUCCUCGGGCCUAUGCUCUCCUCUGUCACAGCAUGGCCUGUCCCAUGGGCUCUGGGGACCCCCGAAAGCCCCAACAGCUUACUGUGGGAGAUGCCCGGCUGCAUCGAGAGCUGGAGAGCUUGGUCCCAAGGCUAGGUGUGAAGUUAGCCAAGACCCCAAUGCGGACAUGGGGUCCCCGGCCAGGCUUCACCUUUGCUUCCCUUCGUGCUCGAACCUGCCACGUGUGUCACAGGCACAGCUUUGAAGUGAAGUUGACACCCUGCCCCCAGUGUAGUGCUGUCUUGUAUUGUGGCGCGGCUUGUCUCCGGGCUGACUGGCGGCGGUGCCCAGAUGAUGUGAGCCACCGAUUUUGGUGCCCAAGGCUUGCAACCUUCAUGGAUCGGGCAGGAGAACUGGCAGCCCUGCCUUUUACCUACACCGCAGAGGUGACCAGUGAAACCUUCAACAAGGAGGCCUUCCUGGCCUCUCGGGGCCUCACUCGUGGCUACUGGACCCAGCUCAGUAUGCUGAUUCCAGGCCCCGGCUCCUCCAGGCACCCCCGAGGCCACAUGCCAUCCCUCAGCCUUCGCGGUGGAGACCCCUACCAGCUUCUCCAGGGGGACGGACCUGCCCUGAUGCCUCCUGUGCCCCCAGAUCCACCCCGGGCUCUUUUUGGCUCAUGGAAGGAUUAUUACACAUGGCGUGGCCUCAGCUUGGACUCCCCCACAGCUGUGCUUCUCACCUACCCGCUGACCGUGUACUACGUCAUCACCCACCUGGUGCCCCAGUCCUUCCCUGAGCUCAACAUCCAAAACAAACAAUCACUGAAGAUCCACGUGGUGGAGGCCGGGAAGGAGUUUGACCUUGUCAUGGUGUUUUGGGAGCUCUUGGUCCUGCUCCCCCAUGUGGCCCUGGAGCUGCAGUUUGUAGGUGAUGGCCUGCCCCCCGAAAGCGACCAGCAGCAUUUUACCCUGCAGAGGGACGGCCCCAAGGUGUCUGUCCGUCCUGGUUCUGGCAUAUCAGCACGGCCCAGCUCUGGCACUAAGGAGAAGGGAGCCCGCAGGGACCUGCAGAUCAAGGUGUCAGCAAGGCCCUACCACCUGCUCCAGGGGCCCAAGCCCGACCUGGUUAUUGCUUCUCCCUCCUCUCGUCUGCAGGAUUUAACUCCGGGUUUGGUCUCAAGGAUACGUGGCUGAGCUCUCUGCCACGGUUACAGUCCCUCCGAGUGCCAGCCUUCUUCACCGAGAGCAGCGAGUACGGCUGUGUGAUGGACGACCAGACCAUGGCGGUGGCCACUGGAGGGGGCACCAGCCCUCCCCAGCCCAACCCCUUCCGCUCCCCCUUUCGCCUCAGAGCGGCCGACAACUGCAUGCCCUGGUACUGCAAUGCCUUCAUCUUCCAUCUGGUUUACAAGCCUGCGCAAGGGAGCGGGACCCGCCCGGCGCCCGGCCCCCCACCCCCGUCCCCAACUCCCUCCGCUCCUCCUGCCCUUACCCGAAGGCGCCGAGGAGAAAAGAAACCUGGGCGGGGGGCCCGCCGGCGGAGAUGAAUGCUGAUACCAUAGUAGACCCCCUCCCAAACACUGAGAGGAAAACGUGAAAACACUCAAGGUCGAGGGGGAGGACAGGCUGGUAAAACACGAAAAGGUCAAUAAAAUUACUUGUUUGAAACCA
RNA transcript from Mandrillus leucophaeus (drill), 2430 nucleotides. It is a transcript of the gene named zinc finger, MYND-type containing 15, with no coding region annotated. The transcript has 14 exons. The record is from RefSeq and is a predicted model, not a curated record. Lineage: Eukaryota; Metazoa; Chordata; Mammalia; Primates; Cercopithecidae.